ACGAACGCUGGCGGCAUGCCUAACACAUGCAAGUCGAACGAGAUCGCUGACUUCGGUUGGCGGUCUAGUGGCGAACGGGUGCGUAACACGUGGGUGAUCUGCCCUGCACUCUGGGAUAAGCCUGGGAAACUGGGUCUAAUACUGGAUAUGACCUGCUCUCGCAUGGGGGUGGGUGGAAAGAUUUAUCGGUGCAGGAUGGGCCCGCGGCCUAUCAGCUUGUUGGUGGGGUAAUGGCCUACCAAGGCGACGACGGGUAGCCGACCUGAGAGGGUGACCGGCCACACUGGGACUGAGACACGGCCCAGACUCCUACGGGAGGCAGCAGUGGGGAAUAUUGCACAAUGGUCGGAAGCCUGAUGCAGCGACGCCGCGUGAGGGAUGAAGGCCUUCGGGUUGUAAACCUCUUUCAGCAGGGACGAAGCGUGAGUGACGGUACCUGCAGAAGAAGCACCGGCUAACUACGU
This 464-nucleotide ribosomal RNA is filed under the name uncultured bacterium. RNAcentral's name for it is "bacterial SSU rRNA". It matches the Rfam family "Bacterial small subunit ribosomal RNA", at positions 29 to 506 of the family's 1533-position model. The record is from RNAcentral.